Molecule: transfer RNA, 77 nt
Filed under: Clostridiales bacterium
Lineage: Bacteria; Bacillati; Bacillota; Clostridia; Eubacteriales
Description: tRNA-Arg
Rfam family: tRNA
About the family: Transfer RNA (tRNA) molecules are approximately 80 nucleotides in length. Their secondary structure includes four short double-helical elements and three loops (D, anti-codon, and T loops).
Source: RNAcentral
GUGCCCGUAGCUCAGUUGGAUAGAGUGUCGGACUCCGACUCCGAAGGUCGCUGGUUCGAAUCCAGUCGGGCAUACCA